RNAcentral lists this long non-coding RNA (1514 nucleotides) under Ursus americanus (American black bear). RNAcentral describes it as "lncRNA (ENSUAMG00000015745.1)". Lineage: Eukaryota; Metazoa; Chordata; Mammalia; Carnivora; Ursidae. The record is from RNAcentral.
CGAGGAGUGACAGCUGAUUUCUUUUGCUCCACCCCCUCUCUUUCCCCCAAACACAAAGCAGAAAUUCACCUCCGACAGCACUACUUUCAAGCUCCCGCAGGACACGGUCCACACAGGACACAUGGCACGCAGCCCUCGGCACACCUCUGCAGGGAUAGUGCGGACAGACGCCUCCCUCUCCCUCUCCGGCAUGAAGCACCUCACCUCUGCACCCUGGGCUGCACUGGCCCUCGGCCUGGUCCUUGCCUCCUUCCACUUGGUUUGCUUGGCAGAAUCGAGGAACAGCGACAACUCAACCUUGACCACCCACCACCUAGACCCUGGAACCCUGGAGCAGUGCCCCAAUGUGGAUUUCUGCCCCCAGGCGGCUCGGUGCUGCCGCACGGGAGUGGACGAAUACGGCUGGAUCGCGGCCGCGGUGGGCUGGAGUUUGUGGUUCCUCACCCUCAUCCUGCUCUGCGUGGACAAACUGAGGAAGCUCACUCCGGAUGAGCCCAAGGGUUUGCGAGCAUGAGGCUGAGCAGCUUAGCCCCGAGAAUGUCAGUCGCCACCGAACUGUGGGUAACCGCGGGAGGGGAGUGGUGCUGAUGGCGUUUCUGCCUGGCUACAGGUGUCGUCACCUUUGUGCCUCAAUGACUUUUAAAAGAGAAGGGAGAAGGAAAGGCGGAUCCGAGGAAGGAAGGCCAGUGCUGCUUCACACCUAAAUCCACAGGCACUCAUGCUUCUGAGUGCCGACGAUCUCUUUCUUGAUCUACCGGACCUGCUGCGGUUUUAACCAGUGUUUUCGUCCGCGCCCCAGGGGGGUGCACAAGAACAUGCGACUUUGACUUUUGUCCACGUUCGGAGCUAAACUCAGAAACUUCUCCCCCAAAACAGGUCAUUGUCUUCCAUCCAUUUCAUUCAAGGAAAUCAAUCCCCCCCCCCCCCCCCCCCCCGUGCCCAUUGCUUCUCACCAGCUCUGUUCUUUCUUCGACAUUGUCUUCCGUGGCGGUCUUGCCCCACCGUCCUACAUCGCCCCUGCAUUGUUUCAGGCACGUUGGGUUCUGUUCUCGCUGCCGCGGUCAGGCACUUCCUCCGCACUGGCUCCUCCCCAGGGCAGCUGCCAAUGUGGUGCUGUCGCCCCCUGCUGACGACCUUCGGUAAAGCCUCACCGCCGAACUUCGGACAUGGGGCUGGCCUUCUGCUCUCCACAGGAGUCUGAUCACCUUCCCAGGUCUGUCUCCCUGCGCAUCCGGGACCAGGACUCAGGUGACCCAGUCCUGUCUUCCACUUCCUGCUGCCAGUCCCUCCGCUCGGGGGCUGCCUUCGAACUCCGCCUCCAGAUGGAAGGCCAGCCCUCAAAGUCCAGCCCAAACACCUGCUCUUCUUGCAGCCUUCCCUGAUAGCCUUGGGGGACCCCGAGCUGGUGUUCUUAGGGGUGCGUCCGCCCCACCCUGAAGUGCAGCCCUCAGGAAUAUGCAGUCAGUGUAGACUUCCUCUUGCUCCUGGGGAUAGAAAGCUCCUCGUAAUGUUUG